GCCGUACCUGGCACCCGUAACUACGGGGACGCGCAGCACGCCAGCUCCCAGCGCAACCUCACGCGUGUGCCCCCUCAGCGCUCACCCACGGGGGAGCGGAGCUUUGUCAUCACUUUCCCAGCCCAGCAGCAGCGCCGGGCACGGCUCGGGCCGCGAGGAAGUGGCGUCGGCCGCGGGCGCCAGCGGAGGAAGCGGCGGGGCCGUGCCGGUCUGCUGAAAAUUAAGUACAUUGUGUGCUACCGAGUCAGCUGUUUUGCCUCCAGACCGUCCAUCUCUCAGCUGGC
This 284-nucleotide long non-coding RNA is filed under the name Gallus gallus (chicken). RNAcentral's name for it is "long non-coding RNA NONGGAT006681". Lineage: Eukaryota; Metazoa; Chordata; Aves; Galliformes; Phasianidae. The record is from RNAcentral.